AUGUCCGAUGCGUCAAAACUUCGCAGUAACAACUUACUAUAAUAAUUUAUAGUAACAGCUGCAGUAAUAGCCAAUGGGUAUUUAUACAUUUUUUUGAUUGGUACUCGGUACGACGACAUAAUAUUGAGUACUGGCAGUACGAGACUUACCUACGUAUGAUACGGUUACCUAAUACCAGUUAUACCUAUACUAUGAAUAUUUAAUAUAUACAAUAGCAGAUAAUGAUACAAAUCGGAUUAAAUAAUAUCGAAUAGUGUAAUUUUAUUAUUUUACAAAAAUAUGAAAAACAUUUCCAAAACUUAUUUACGAUUUGAAACGGUGUUCAUAAAAAUCUUAUCUCUUACUUUUCUUAAAAGAACUAAAUAAAUUAAAAAUAUUUUCAAGCAAUUUUCUCAUUUUUCAAAUUUUCUUUUCUUCAUCGAAGCAAACUCGACAAUUACAGCAGAUAAGAUAAUAGGUACUAUGCAAUAAAUACCUAUAUAAUAUACCAUAUUAAAUUAUUGAAUUAUUUCAAAUAGUAUUUGAGCCUUACUAAUUUACUAUACUACGUACUAUGUGACUAUCUCUUCAUUUUAGAUUAUUCAUUCUGAGCGAAGUAAUGCAUAUGAUGAUUUUACAAUGAUGUGUAUUUUUUGUGUCCUGCAUUGCUUUUUUAUUUUUGGGGUAGUAACAUUUUUUGGACAUUACAGCAACCUUUUUUAGUAGGAAAGCGAAUCUAGUUCGUGAUUUUUUGGGGUAAAAAUUAGAAAUUCUCAUUAAUUGUUUGGAAUAAUCCACACUUCAGCUCAUAUACACAAAAUAUGCAUAUAUCAGAGUAUAUCAGCAUAUAUCCGUAACUAUACGUAAUUAUUGUUUAUUGUUUAAUGAUUCAUGAAUAUUUCUUAUAAGUUUCAAACUUGUAUUUAGUCUACAAUAAUCAUUUGUCGGGUUUUUGAUUUCACCGUUUUCGUGAAAUUGACUUAAGAGUUAAGAGGACGCUACACUCGCAUGUGUUGUCUGGUUGUCUCCAUAGACCUUUAGGUACUAUUAUACAAGCAAUGAGUGCAUAGAAAGCGAACAACAAAGAGGGCGCUUUUUUAUUUCUCGAUUACUCGUACGCACGACCAGUGAGGGGUAGCAGGGUAAGAUAUAUAUAUAUAGAUUAUUGUAUUUUUUCUUAAAGACAGCCUAUAUCACUGCAAGCUGUUAAUUGUUAAACAUCACAGUCCUUGCCUAGUAGAAAGUAGUAAAAAGGUAUAAUGGUUGUCUCCGACUUACAAAUAUACAACAUAUCAAAAACUGUUUUGAGCGGGAAAGAACCGAGUAGGCUACAGUCAUAAGUCAUAACUUAUAACUAAGAAACGAAAUGUUUAUCACAUAAAGAGAAGAACUUUGGCUGUGAAAUAUUGUUUUUAUUUUUUCGAUAUUGGAACUACAAAAAAGUUAUCUAAGUCUGAAAAACACAAAAAUAAUGGAUUUUAAAACAAUAAGAACUUUUUCCGUACAGGUGAUAUCAAAAUAAUGAAAAUGAUAUUUCAGAGAUAAUAUUCUCAACUAUAUUGUGUAUCAAUUUGGAGUCUUAGCUAUCAUUACAGACUACAGCCCGAGUGGUCCUAACCCGCCCAAAACAGUUUUUGCUAUGUUGUACAAUUUACAUUUGUAAGACAGGUACAAGACUUGCGGGUGUAGCGUUCUUUCAUAAAAUAAUAAUAUAUCACUGUAUAACAUAAUUUUCCGCCACUGCACCACCCGAGUUCACCGAGAGCCGGUCUUAUACUAAUAGAAGGUCUAUAGUGAUAGUUGUAGUUAUACAACUAGCCAUUGUUUCUAUGUCUUGUAUAACAAAUAAAAAUAUAAAAUCUGCAAUAUAGAUGUAUGUAUCUUAACUAUUAUAUUGUUUUUGGAUCGUUUCGAAUGUUUCGAUACAGGACAUUAUAGGCAGUAGGCCUACUACUUACUCAGUGGGUGAAUUAUUUCAUUACUGAGGGUCCAACUAGUUUAGAAUGGGUGUUCAAUUGUUCAUUUGGACGCAGAAAACUUAAGACAACAUCUUAAAUUCAAAUUUUUAACAAGCAUAAUUAAAAAAUGACCUAAUAGGAUAUUCAAUAGUAAUUUUCAGGGUUAGUGUAUGUUUAAAACGUGUUUUUAAGUCUCAAACGUUGAAACGAGUUUUUAUUUCGAUCAUUCUUGUUAGUUAUUUCCAACCAAACCUAUUGAGUAUCAGUUAUUAAUUUAUUACAUACUAUAUAGAUAGAGUAUUAUUAUUUACAAUACAUAUUAUGUACAAAUAAUUUAUAUACUUUUUUGACCACCAUAAUAUUAUGAUUUAUAAUAUUUAUGGGUAACACUAAAACAGGACAUAUUGGUAUUGGAAAAAAAGAAAAAUGGAGAACCCAUAGCUAGUUAUAGGAAAUUACUGCCAAAUGCCCUUGUAGUCAGGUUAUAAGGUAGUGGCGGGAAAAUAAAUAUGCACCAAGUGAUCAAAAUGUAUGUCAAUAAAUAAUUUACUAUACAGCAAGCAAAAAAUAAAUAGUAAAUGAGGUGACUUGUAGGAAAAUUAGAAGAAAUUAAAAACACAAUAUACUUCACAAUACUUACUCGCCUGCACUAGCUGUAGACCUAAAGUAUAUUUAAUACGUGUAUGUUCACUAUAUGCUGUAAUACAAUAUGUCAAUAUUAUUAACAUACGACAUACCUAUAACCUAUGUAGAAUAUUACAACCUAGUAAGUAGUAACCCACUACCAUUUAGGUACUAAUACCUAAUUAAUUUAAAACUUAAUCAUAAACGGUCUGAUGGAUGCACAUUAAAUUUCGACUUGUUUAAUUUGACACAUUCAAGUAGAUAUUAUUAUCAUUAACUUUAUAAAACGAUAAUACUGAAAAAUUCCGCGUUCAUCAUAACGUUUAUCUUUAUUGCUUCUGCCUGUUUGUAACGUUAAAUGUUUAUCAUAAUCAUCAUAAUAUAUUAUUAUAUUAAUAUGACAUAAUAUAGAUACAUGAUAAUAUGAUACAUAUUAUACAAUGUGACCCGUGAAGAAGUGGUUGGCAUCAUAUUAUGAUGGUGUACCUAGAAGUUUAGAAAAAAAAACCCUUUAAAGUGUUUGUUUAAAAUUUUUAUUUUUUUUUUGUUAUGACUUCAUAAUCAAUUCAACUAAUUUUUAACAAAACCGAACCUACCACACAUUUACUGAUGUAUCUUCAAAACUUUUCAGCUUUUCGUCAUUUACUUUUUAUUUUAAAGCUUUUUUAGUAUGUUAUCAACUAACCAUCAAACCAAAAAUGUACAAAUUAUCAUUAUUGAAUUAGAUAACCUUAAACAUAUCGUUUUCCUAUCCUAUACAUGUUAUUUCUUAGUGACUACAUCAUGCCUUAUCUAAGCUCGUUGUCUAGUAAUUAUUGUCCAUUGAUAAUUACCAUCACGAAUGUCAUGUCACGUUAAGGUUUACCAGUGUCUAGUAGUGUACUAGUAUCACUCGGAAAUUGUGAAAGGUUCGGUGCACACGUCUGUUGUAGCCCCUGCGGCGCCGAAAGUGGCUGAAUGCAAAUAAUGUGUGCACCUCACCGAUGCAACGUCACCGCAAGAGAUGUGCACUGCACAAUUAAACAAUUUGAUCACAUAUUAAUAUAUUAUCCAG
Myzus persicae (green peach aphid) is the source of this 3615-nucleotide long non-coding RNA. RefSeq lists it as uncharacterized. Lineage: Eukaryota; Metazoa; Arthropoda; Insecta; Hemiptera; Aphididae. The record is from RefSeq and is a predicted model, not a curated record. The transcript has 2 exons.